GGUGGUGCAUGGUCGUCGUCAGCUCGUGUCGUGAGAUGUUGGGUUAAGUCCCGCAACGAGCGCAACCCUUGUUAUUAGUUGCCAGCAUUUAGUUGGGCACUCUAAUGAGACUGCCGGUGAUAAACCGGAGGAAGGUGGGGACGACGUCAGAUCAUCAUGCCCCUUAUGACCUGGGCAACACACGUGCUACAAUGGGAAGUACAACGAGUCGCAAACCGGCGACGGUAAGCUAAUCUCUUAAAACUUCUCUCAGUUCGGACUGGAGUCUGCAACUCGACUCCACGAAGGCGGAAUCGCUAGUAAUCGCGAAUCAGCAUGUCGCGGUGAAUACGUUCCCGGGUCUUGUACACACCGCCCGUCAAAUCAUGGGAGUCGGAAGUACCCAAAGUCGCUUGGCUAACUUUUAGAGGCCGGUGCCUAAGGUAAAAUCGAUGACUGGGAUUAAGUCGUAACAAGGUAGCCGUAGGAGAACCUGCGGCUGGAUCACCUCCUUUCUAAGGA
This 501-nucleotide ribosomal RNA is filed under the name Oenococcus oeni. Its description in RNAcentral is "bacterial SSU rRNA". It matches the Rfam family "Bacterial small subunit ribosomal RNA", at positions 1037 to 1533 of the family's 1533-position model. The record is from RNAcentral. Lineage: Bacteria; Bacillati; Bacillota; Bacilli; Lactobacillales; Lactobacillaceae.